GUAUAUUAGUUCAAAUCCCAGGAGCAAAAUAAAGCCCUGGGCAAACUAGGCAACCGAUUGUUGUGGAAACAUUUGUGAUUCUCGAUGUUUCCUCAAAUGACAAAUGUUUCCCUGUUUGCCCACCCGUGGAACUGAACAUUGUUGCGGAAACAAAUGUUUCCCGUGAAGUGUUUCUCAGCGAAUUCAGAAACAUUUGAUGUUUCCCUGUCUACCCACUCUGGG
Non-coding RNA from Paramuricea clavata, 222 nucleotides. NCBI's taxonomy places the organism in Eukaryota, Metazoa, Cnidaria, Anthozoa, Malacalcyonacea, Plexauridae. The record is from the annotation of a GenBank genome assembly.